This 470-nucleotide ribosomal RNA is filed under the name uncultured organism. RNAcentral describes it as "partial 16S ribosomal RNA". It matches the Rfam family "Bacterial small subunit ribosomal RNA", at positions 334 to 796 of the family's 1533-position model. The record is from RNAcentral.
CACUCCUACGGGAGGCAGCAGUGGGGAAUAUUGCACAAUGGGCGCAAGCCUGAUGCAGCCAUGCCGCGUGUAUGAAGAAGGCCUUCGGGUUGUAAAGUACUCUCAGCGGGGAGGAAGGCGAUAAGGUUAAUAACCUUGUCGAUUGACGUUACCCGCAGAAGAAGCACCGGCUAACUCCGUGCCAGCAGCCGCGGUAAUACGGAGGGUGCAAGCGUUAAUCGGAAUUACUGGGCGUAAAGCGCACGCAGGCGGUCUGUCAAGUCGGAUGUGAAAUCCCCGGGCUCAACCUGGGAACUGCAUUCGAAACUGGCAGGCUAGAGUCUUGUAGAGGGGGGUAGAAUUCCAGGUGUAGCGGUGAAAUGCGUAGAGAUCUGGAGGAAUACCGGUGGCGAAGGCGGCCCCCUGGACAAAGACUGACGCUCAGGUGCGAAAGCGUGGGGAGCAAACAGGAUUAGAUACCCCAGUAGUCC